AUUGAACGCUGGCGGCAUGCCUUACACAUGCAAGUCGAACGGCAGCACGGGGGGUACCCUCUGGUGGCGAGUGGCGAACGGGUGAGUAAUAUAUCGGAACGUGUCCUGUAGCGGGGGAUAACCUUUCGAAAGAUGGACUAAUACCGCAUACGACCUACGGGUGAAAGCGGAGGACCGCAAGGCUUCGCACUAUAGGAGCGGCCGAUAUCGGAUUAGCUAGUUGGCGGGGUAACGGCCCACCAAGGCGACGAUCCGUAGCUGGUCUGAGAGGACGAUUAGCCACACUGGAACUGAGACACGGUCGAGACUCCUACGGGAGGGAGCAGUGGGGAGUUUUGGACAAUGGGCGCGAGCCUGAUCCAGCCAUGCCGCGUGAGUGAAGAAGGCCUUCGGGUUGUAAAGCUCUUUCGGCGGGGACGAAACGGUUCGUGCUAAUACCACGGACUACUGACGGUACCCGCAGAAGAAGCACCGGCUAACUACGUG
Molecule: ribosomal RNA, 486 nt
Filed under: uncultured bacterium
Lineage: Bacteria
Description: partial 16S ribosomal RNA
Rfam family: Bacterial small subunit ribosomal RNA
Source: RNAcentral